UUUCCUUCGGGGACAAUUUGAUUAAGUUGGAACGAUACAGAGAAGAUUAGCAUGGCCCAUGCGUAAGGAUGACAUGCUCAAAUCGAGAGAUGGUCAAUUUUUUU
This is a small nuclear RNA of Lotus japonicus, 104 nucleotides long. NCBI's taxonomy places the organism in Eukaryota, Viridiplantae, Streptophyta, Magnoliopsida, Fabales, Fabaceae. The record is from RefSeq and is a predicted model, not a curated record.